AUUGAACGCUGGCGGCAGGCUUAACACGUGCAAGUCGAGCGGGGUGAUGGUGCUUGCACUAUCACUUAGCGGCGGACGGGUGAGUAAUGCUUAGGAAUCUGCCUAUUAGUGGGGGACAACAUCUCGACAGGGAUGCUAAUACCGCAUACGUCCUACGGGAGAAAGCAGGGGAUCACUUGUGACCUUGCGCUAAUAGAUGAGCCUAAGUCGGAUUCGCUAGUGGGUGGGGUAAAGGCCUACCAAGGCGACGAUGUGUAGCGGGUCUGAGAGGAUGAUCCGCCACACUGGGACUGAGACACGGCCCAGACUCCUACGGGAGGCAGCAGUGGGGAAUAUUGGACAAUGGGGGGAACCCUGAUCCAGCCAUGCCGCGUGUGUGAAGAAGGCCUUAUGGUUGUAAAGCACUUUAAGCGAGGAGGAGGCUCUUUUGGUUAAUACCCAAGAUGAGUGGACGUUACUCGCAGAAUAAGCACCGGCUAACUCUGUGCCAGCCGCCGCCGUAA
Molecule: ribosomal RNA, 503 nt
Filed under: uncultured bacterium
Lineage: Bacteria
Description: partial 16S ribosomal RNA
Rfam family: Bacterial small subunit ribosomal RNA
Source: RNAcentral